AGUCCGGAAUUAUUGGGCGUAAAGCGCGCGCAGUGUCGGUCCUUUAAGUCUGAUGUGAAAGCCCACGGCUCAACCGUGGAGGGUCAUUGGAAACUGGGGGACUUGAUGUGCAGAAGAGGAAAGUGGAAUUCCACGUGUACGGUGAAAUGCGUAAGACGUGGAGGAACACCAUGGCGAAGCGACUUUCUGGUCUGUAACUGACGCUGAGGCGCGAAAGCGUGGGGAGCAAACAGGAUUAAUACCCUGGUAGUCCACGCCGUAAACGAUGAGUGCUAAGUGUUAGGGGGUUUCCGCCCCUUAGUGCUGCAGCUAACGCAUUAAGCACUCCGCCUGGGGAGUACGGCCGCAAGGCUGAAACUCAAAGGAAUUGACGGGGGCCCGCACAAGCGGUGGAGCAUGUGGUUUAAUUCGAAGCAACGCGAAGAACCUUACCAGGUCUUGACAUCCCGCUGCCCGCCUUGGAGACAAGGCUUUCCCUUCGGGGACAGCGGUGACAGGUGGUGCAUGGUUGUCGUCAGCUCGUGUCGUGAGAUGUUGGGUUAAGUCCCGCAACGAGCGCACACCCUUGAUCUUAGUUGCCAGCAUUCAGUUGGGCACUCUAAGGUGACUGCCGGUGACAAACCGGAGGAAGGUGGGGAUGACGUCAAUCAUCAUGCCCCUUAUGACCUGGGCUACACACGUGCUACAAUGGACGGUACAACAGGGUCGCGAACCCGCGAGGGGGAGCCAAUCCCAGAAAAACCGUUCUCCAGUUCCGGAUUGCAGGGCUGCAACUCGCCUGCCAUGAAGCCGGGAAUCGCUAGUAAUCGCGGAUCAGCAUGCCCGCGGGUGGAAUAACGUUCCCGGGCCUUGCUCACAACACCGGCCGGUCAAGG
This 875-nucleotide ribosomal RNA is filed under the name uncultured bacterium. RNAcentral's name for it is "bacterial SSU rRNA". It matches the Rfam family "Bacterial small subunit ribosomal RNA", at positions 542 to 1407 of the family's 1533-position model. The record is from RNAcentral.